CCGAGUUUACAACUCCCAGACCCCUGUGAACAUACCACUUGUUGCCUCGGCGGAUCAGCCCGCUCCCGGUAAAACGGGACGGCCCGCCAGAGGACCCCUAAACUCUGUUUCUAUAUGUAACUUCUGAGUAAAACCAUAAAUAAAUCA
RNAcentral lists this unclassified non-coding RNA (147 nucleotides) under soil metagenome. Its description in RNAcentral is "partial internal transcribed spacer 1". The record is from RNAcentral.